This 253-nucleotide ribosomal RNA is filed under the name uncultured bacterium. RNAcentral describes it as "partial 16S ribosomal RNA". It matches the Rfam family "Bacterial small subunit ribosomal RNA", at positions 524 to 776 of the family's 1533-position model. The record is from RNAcentral.
UACGGAGGGUGCGAGCGUUGUCCGGAAUCACUGGGCGUAAAGGGCGCGUAGGCGGCCUGAUAAGUAGGGGGUGAAAUCCUGCGGCUUAACCGCAGGGCUGCCUUCUAAGCUGUCAGGCUGGAGCACAGUAGAGGCAGGUGGAAUUCCCGGUGUAGCGGUGGAAUGCGUAGAGAUCGGGAAGAACAUCAGUGGCGAAGGCGGCCUGCUGGGCUGUUGCUGACGCUGAGGCGCGACAGCGUGGGGAGCAAACAGG